Molecule: ribosomal RNA, 674 nt
Filed under: Siconema laticaudatum
Lineage: Eukaryota; Metazoa; Nematoda; Chromadorea; Rhabditida; Ungellidae
Description: eukaryotic LSU rRNA
Rfam family: Eukaryotic large subunit ribosomal RNA
Source: RNAcentral
GGAGUGAACCGGUAGGAUGGAAACGGAUAAAGCCAACGGACAAACUCGUAUUCAGCUAGUCGGUGGCGUCCGACAUUCGCGGGUACCCGAUAGGGUACACGCUAGUGUGCGUGGUAUGCAACUGGCUAGUGCAUUUACGGGCGAUGUGCGCCGAGGCGUGUGAUCKUGCACGUUACGAACUGCCCGGAGAGGCCUCGCUUCGGCGUGGUACCUACGUGGCCGGUGAGUGGUGUCAUGGUUGCACGUAGAUUGUAUGGGCUAGGUGGAAAACGCGCUGCCGUAUCGACGGUCUGCCGCCCGCGCGAGUCGCAUGCGACRAGUUUGGGUGAGCGGGCAUUAAUGAUAUGCGGUAGUGACCUGGCCUACCCUCGGUGUAAAAGUUGGUCAUUUCUCCGACCCGUCUUGAAACACGGACCAAGGAGUCUAGCGUGUACGCGAGUCAUUGGGCGUCAAAAACCCAUAGGCGUAAUGAAAGUGAAUGUCUCCCUCGAAGGAGCCUUAUAUGCGAUCCAUUGCGCUACGGCGUAGCGGAGCARCAUAGCCCCAUCUCGACUGCUUGCAGUGGGGUGGAGGUAGAGCGUAUGCGCUGGUACCCGAAAGAUGGUGAACUAUGCCUGAGCAGGAUGAAGCCAGAGGAAACUCUGGUGGAAGUCCGAAGCGCUUCUGACGUGCAA